This 744-nucleotide ribosomal RNA is filed under the name uncultured bacterium. RNAcentral's name for it is "bacterial SSU rRNA". It matches the Rfam family "Bacterial small subunit ribosomal RNA", at positions 8 to 796 of the family's 1533-position model. The record is from RNAcentral.
AGAGUUUGAUCCUGGCUCAGGAUGAACGCUGGCGGUCUGCUUAACACAUGCAAGUCGAACGGGACUCUUCGGAGUUCAGUGGCGGACGGGUGAGUAACGCGUGAGAAUCUGGCUUCGGGUUCGGGACAACAGUGGGAAACUGCUGCUAAUACCGGAUGUGCCGCAAGGUAAAAGAUUAAUUGCCCGAAGAUGAGCUCGCGUCCGAUUAGCUAGUUGGUGUGGUAAGAGCGCACCAAGGCGUCGAUCGGUAGCUGGUCUGAGAGGACGAUCAGCCACACUGGGACUGAGACACGGCCCAGACUCCUACGGGAGGCAGCAGUGGGGAAUUUUCCGCAAUGGGCGAAAGCCUGACGGAGCAAUACCGCGUGAGGGAGGAAGGCUCUUGGGUUGUAAACCUCUUUUCUCAGGGAAGAACACAAUGACGGUACCUGAGGAAUCAGCAUCGGCUAACUCCGUGCCAGCAGCCGCGGUAAUACGGAGGAUGCAAGCGUUAUCCGGAAUGAUUGGCGUAAAGCGUCCGCAGNNGGCUUAUCAAGUCGAUUGCAAAGGUCCUGGCUCAACUGGGAAGAGGCAGUGGAAACUGAAAAGCUAGAGUGCGGUAGGGGUAGAGGGAAUUCCCGGUGUAGCGGUGAAAUGCGUAGAGAUCGGGAAGAACACCAGUGGCGAAAGCGCUCUACUAGGCCUGCACUGACACUCAUGGACGAAAGCUAGGGGAGCGAAUGGGAUUAGAUACCCUAGUAGUCC